Clupea harengus (Atlantic herring) is the source of this 303-nucleotide long non-coding RNA. RefSeq lists it as uncharacterized. The record is from RefSeq and is a predicted model, not a curated record. Lineage: Eukaryota; Metazoa; Chordata; Actinopteri; Clupeiformes; Clupeidae. The transcript is spliced from 3 exons.
GAGGAUCUGGUCACGGUGGCCUGGGACGAGAAGAAGAUGAAGGACUUCAUGAGCACCCUGAACACACAACUGGAGGGCACUGAGUCAUGUGUCGUGUCUAAGAUGAAGAAGAGCAAGAGACUGAACCUGUACUUCAAGAAGCUGAGAAAUGAAACACUGGGGAAAAUGGAGGACGAGGCCCAGGCAUGGGAGCUGAUCAGGAAGGAGGUGCACAAGCAUCUGAAGUGGGUCGACCUUUUGGCCAGCACACGCCUGUAGUCUAAACACCCAGGCUUACCACAGCGGUGGGAAACCGUACUGAAG